This 422-nucleotide ribosomal RNA is filed under the name uncultured Desulfobulbus sp. RNAcentral describes it as "bacterial SSU rRNA". It matches the Rfam family "Bacterial small subunit ribosomal RNA", at positions 960 to 1382 of the family's 1533-position model. The record is from RNAcentral. Lineage: Bacteria; Pseudomonadati; Thermodesulfobacteriota; Desulfobulbia; Desulfobulbales; Desulfobulbaceae.
CGCGAAGAACCUUACCAGGCCUUGACAUGCAGAGAACUUUCCAGAGAUGGAUUGGUGCCUUCGGGAACUCUGACACAGGUGCUGCGUGGCUGUCGUCAGCUCGUGUCGUGAGAUGUUGGGUUAAGUCCCGCAACGAGCGCAACCCUUGCCUUUAGUUGCCAGCAGUUCGGCUGGGCACUCUAAAGGGACUGCCGGUGUUAAACCGGAGGAAGGUGGGGAUGACGUCAAGUCCUCAUGGCCUUUAUGACCAGGGCUACACACGUACUACAAUGGCCGAUACAAAGGGCAGCGACACUGCGAGGUGAAGCCAAUCCCGUAAAAUCGGUCUCAGUCCGGAUUGGAGUCUGCAACUCGACUCCAUGAAGUUGGAAUCGCUAGUAAUCGUGGAUCAGCAUGCCACGGUGAAUACGUUCCCGGGCCUU